UAGCAGGAUAUCUACUGUGCAGCUAGUGUGGUGCUGUAUUGUCGUUCCCCCUGCUAAAAGUAACAUGUCUCCAGCUAUCCCUGUCUGUUGGCUUUACCCAACUGCUAGGGACGCAAGGUCUCAGACAC
Molecule: small nucleolar RNA, 128 nt
Filed under: Cyprinodon variegatus (sheepshead minnow)
Lineage: Eukaryota; Metazoa; Chordata; Actinopteri; Cyprinodontiformes; Cyprinodontidae
Description: Small nucleolar RNA SNORA63 (ENSCVAG00000002652.1)
Source: RNAcentral